This 800-nucleotide unclassified non-coding RNA is filed under the name Hevea brasiliensis (rubber tree). Lineage: Eukaryota; Viridiplantae; Streptophyta; Magnoliopsida; Malpighiales; Euphorbiaceae. The record is from RNAcentral.
CCUCAGGCUCAACUGUACUGUAAGGGUAAUUUCUGGAGUUGGGACCCCAUGAUAACUACUCCUCCUGGAUUGUACUAUCUUUCACUUGCCCAUGUUGCUUGUUUGUUUCCAGGCAUGUUUUUUGUGCAAAAGGUGUCAUCAUUUGCUGAAUUGUGUUCUACUUCAAUGCUGCGCUUUGUAAAUGGUGUUUUGGCGAUAUUAUGUGGCAUCAUCAUCUAUGAGAUAAUUACUCACUUGAGACCGACUCUUUGUAAAAGAAAAGCAGCUUUUUUUGCUGUGAUCCUAGCCCUGUACCCCCUCCAUUGGUUCUUCACUUUUCUUUACUAUACUGAUGUUGCAUCACUUACUGCAGUGCUUGCUAUGUAUCUCACAUGCUUGAAGAAGAAAUACUACUUCAGUGCAUUGCUUGGAGCCUUUGCAGUUUUCAUUCGACAAACAAAUAUUAUAUGGAUGCUUUUUGUCGCAUGCACUGGGGUAAUAGAUAUUACUCUGACCCAUCCAAGAAAAAAAGUGAAAGUAGAUGAGUUAAAUGAAUCAGUGAAGGAAACUGGCCGAUUAAUUCCUAACAAUUCUGUCUCAGCAAGCUCAAAUAUGAGAAGACGAAAGCCCAAUAGUGCGGAUGCUAGCAAAUAUUCAGCAACUGCUGCAAAUGGCUCCUCAUCAACCCAGUCUUCAGGUUUUCUUGAUGAGAUUCAGGACAUCUGUUUGGCAUCAUGGCAUAUGAAGUGGAAACUUUUCAUAUCCUUUUGCCCCUUCUUUAUGGUAUUGGUGGCCUUUGUUGCUUUUGUCCGUUGGAAUGG